GACGAACGCUGGCGGCGUGCUUAACACAUGCAAGUCGAACGGAAAGGCCCUGCUUUUGUGGGGUGCUCGAGUGGCGAACGGGUGAGUAACACGUGAGUAACCUGCCCUUGACUUUGGGAUAACUUCAGGAAACUGGGGCUAAUACCGGAUAGGAGCUCCUGCUGCAUGGUGGGGGUUGGAAAGUUUCGGAGGUUGGGGAUGGACUCGCGGCUUAUCAGCUUGUUGGUGGGGUAGUGGCUUACCAAGGCUUUGACGGGUAGCCGGCCUGAGAGGGUGACCGGCCACGUUGGGACUGAGAUACGGCCCAGACUCCUACGGGAGGCAGCAGUGGGGAAUAUUGCACAAUGGGCGGAAGCCUGAUGCAGCAACGCCGCGGGCGGGAUGACGGCCUGCGGGUUGUAAACCGCUUUCGCCUGUGACGAAGCGUGAGUGACGGUAAUGGGUAAAGAAGCACCGGCUAACUAC
Molecule: ribosomal RNA, 465 nt
Filed under: uncultured bacterium
Lineage: Bacteria
Description: partial 16S ribosomal RNA
Rfam family: Bacterial small subunit ribosomal RNA
Source: RNAcentral